ACCUACGGGGGGCAGCAGUGGGGGAUAUUGCACAAUGGGGGGAACCCUGAUGCAGCGACGCCGCGUGGGUGAAGAAGCGCCUCGGCGCGUAAAGCCCUGUCAGCAGGGAAGAAAAUGACGGUACCUGAAGAAGAAGCCCCGGCUAACUACGUGCCAGCAGCCGCGGUAAUACGUAGGGGGCAAGCGUUAUCCGGAUUUACUGGGUGUAAAGGGGGCGCAGACGGCGAUGCACGCCAGGAGUGAAAGCCCGGGGCCCAACCCCGGGACUGCUCUUGGAACUGCGUGGCUGGAGUGCAGGAGGGGCG
RNAcentral lists this ribosomal RNA (305 nucleotides) under uncultured bacterium. RNAcentral describes it as "partial 16S ribosomal RNA". It matches the Rfam family "Bacterial small subunit ribosomal RNA", at positions 337 to 659 of the family's 1533-position model. The record is from RNAcentral.